GUAUAAUAUGUCAAAGUACAAAACAGUCAUUGGUUAUAUAUGGGUCCCAGGUAUAAGGGUCCUAAUACACACAAUAAAAACGGAUUUCAACAACAAAAAAUGUUUUUUUUGCCUUAUACACGAUGGAUGCAUGAAAAUAUCACCAUUUGAAGAAAUUCUAUUUUUUUCUAUUUUCCAUUUUUUUGCUGAAAAGCUCAAUGAUUCAUGUCCCAGC
RNAcentral lists this long non-coding RNA (214 nucleotides) under Mytilus galloprovincialis (Mediterranean mussel). Lineage: Eukaryota; Metazoa; Mollusca; Bivalvia; Mytilida; Mytilidae. The record is from RNAcentral.